This 1554-nucleotide ribosomal RNA is filed under the name Escherichia coli. Its description in RNAcentral is "bacterial SSU rRNA". It matches the Rfam family "Bacterial small subunit ribosomal RNA". Lineage: Bacteria; Pseudomonadati; Pseudomonadota; Gammaproteobacteria; Enterobacterales; Enterobacteriaceae. RNAcentral also lists the same sequence under 2 other names. The record is from RNAcentral.
AAAUUGAAGAGUUUGAUCAUGGCUCAGAUUGAACGCUGGCGGCAGGCCUAACACAUGCAAGUCGAACGGUAACAGGAAACAGCUUGCUGUUUCGCUGACGAGUGGCGGACGGGUGAGUAAUGUCUGGGAAACUGCCUGAUGGAGGGGGAUAACUACUGGAAACGGUAGCUAAUACCGCAUAACGUCGCAAGACCAAAGAGGGGGACCUUCGGGCCUCUUGCCAUCGGAUGUGCCCAGAUGGGAUUAGCUUGUUGGUGGGGUAACGGCUCACCAAGGCGACGAUCCCUAGCUGGUCUGAGAGGAUGACCAGCCACACUGGAACUGAGACACGGUCCAGACUCCUACGGGAGGCAGCAGUGGGGAAUAUUGCACAAUGGGCGCAAGCCUGAUGCAGCCAUGCCGCGUGUAUGAAGAAGGCCUUCGGGUUGUAAAGUACUUUCAGCGGGGAGGAAGGGAGUAAAGUUAAUACCUUUACUCAUUGACGUUACCCGCAGAAGAAGCACCGGCUAACUCCGUGCCAGCAGCCGCGGUAAUACGGAGGGUGCAAGCGUUAAUCGGAAUUACUGGGCGUAAAGCGCACGCAGGCGGUUUGUUAAGUCAGAUGUGAAAUCCCCGGGCUCAACCUGGGAACUGCAUCUGAUACUGGCAAGCUUGAGUCUCGUAGAGGGGGGUAGAAUUCCAGGUGUAGCGGUGAAAUGCGUAGAGAUCUGGAGGAAUACCGGUGGCGAAGGCGGCCCCCUGGACGAAGACUGACGCUCAGGUGCGAAAGCGUGGGGAGCAAACAGGAUUAGAUACCCUGGUAGUCCACGCCGUAAACGAUGUCGACUUGGAGGUUGUGCCCUUGAGGCGUGGCUUCCGGAGCUAACGCGUUAAGUCGACCGCCUGGGGAGUACGGCCGCAAGGUUAAAACUCAAAUGAAUUGACGGGGGCCCGCACAAGCGGUGGAGCAUGUGGUUUAAUUCGAUGCAACGCGAAGAACCUUACCUGGUCUUGACAUCCACGGAAGUUUUCAGAGAUGAGAAUGUGCCUUCGGGAACCGUGAGACAGGUGCUGCAUGGCUGUCGUCAGCUCGUGUUGUGAAAUGUUGGGUUAAGUCCCGCAACGAGCGCAACCCUUAUCCUUUGUUGCCAGCGGUCCGGCCGGGAACUCAAAGGAGACUGCCAGUGAUAAACUGGAGGAAGGUGGGGAUGACGUCAAGUCAUCAUGGCCCUUACGACCAGGGCUACACACGUGCUACAAUGGCGCAUACAAAGAGAAGCGACCUCGCGAGAGCAAGCGGACCUCAUAAAGUGCGUCGUAGUCCGGAUUGGAGUCUGCAACUCGACUCCAUGAAGUCGGAAUCGCUAGUAAUCGUGGAUCAGAAUGCCACGGUGAAUACGUUCCCGGGCCUUGUACACACCGCCCGUCACACCAUGGGAGUGGGUUGCAAAAGAAGUAGGUAGCUUAACCUUCGGGAGGGCGCUUACCACUUUGUGAUUCAUGACUGGGGUGAAGUCGUAACAAGGUAACCGUAGGGGAACCUGCGGUUGGAUCACCUCCUUACCUUAAAGAAGC